CGGGUAGCUGCAUGCAAGCGUCGAUCCGGGGAUGCCCGAAUGGGACCUCCCGCCGCGUUUAAACCGCGGCACUCCCUCUGGGAGAGGUAACCCUCCGAACGGAAGCAUCCAAGUAGGAGGAGGAAGAGAAACCAAUAGGGAUUCCCUGAGUAGCGGCGAGCGAAAUGGGAGCAGCCUAAACCGAACGCGCGUAGGCGACUACGCGUGGAUGUGGUGUAGAAGGGUCCAGCCGCGCCUCAAACCUGAAGUCGAAGUGGCCUGGAACGGCCCGCCACAGAGGGUGAUAGCCCCGUAAACGUAAGGGGGAGAGGUUUGGGCUGGGAUCCCUGAGUACUACGCCUUGGUUCAGGCGUAGGAAACUGGGAGAAAGCAACUUCCAAGGCUAAAUACGUCCCAAGACCGAUAGCGCACUAGUACCGUGAGGGAAAGCUGAAAAGCACCCCGGAAGGGGGGUGAAAAGUGCCUGAAAUCAGGCGGUUACAGACGUGUACGGUCUAGAAGGGUAGAUCCCCUCCAAAGGAGGCCGUGGCGACACGGCGCUACGAGGAGGGGGGACCAGGAUCGUACGCUCCGUUUUGUACCACGGGCCGGGGAGUUCACCUCCGUGGUGAGGUUAAGGGCCUGCAAGCCCGAAGCCGCAGGGAAACCGACUGUCCGCAGCGUUGAGCGUGAUGAAACGCGAGGGACGGGAUCUGAAAGGGUCCGGAAUCAUGGGGGUGAAGCUAGAAACCGAGCGAUCUAGCCCGAGGCAGGGUGAAGCCGGGCGAAAGCCCGGUGGAGGCCCGAACGGGUGUUGACGUGCAGUUCGCUCCGUUGACCCUGGGCUAGGGGCAAAAGACCAAUCUAGCUCGGUGAUAGCUAGUUCCCGCCGAAAUAUCUCGCAGGAUAGCCCAGCUGGAGGCGGCCGACGGGGUAGAGCACCGAUUGGAAAGCAAGGAGUCGAAAGGCUCCACUUUCCAUUCGAACUCCGAAUCCGCCGGCGCCGUAGAAGGCUGGAGACGGGCCUGGGGGGUAAGCUCCUAGGUCGCGAGGGGAACAACCCAAACUGGGGUUAAGGCCCCUAAAUCCCGGUUAAGUGCAGAAAUUGAAGGUUGUCCCCAACCAUAGACAGCUGGGAGGUAGGCUUAGAAGCAGCCAUCCUCUAAGCAGUGCGUAACAGCUGACCAGCCGAGGUUGGGGGCGCCGAAAAUGGACGGGGCUAAGCUAGGUACCGAUACCUUGGAACACAGCCUCUGGCUGUGUUGGUAGGCGGGCGUUGUGGUCGGGCGGAAGCUGGGCCGUGAGGUCCAGUGGACCGGUCACAAGUGCAGAUCCCGGCGGAAGUAACAGCGAAGAGGAGUGGGAAUCUCCUCCGUCGAAGAGGGCAAGGGUUCCCCGGCAAUGCGUCGUCAGCCGGGGGUAAGUCGAUCCUAAGGGAUGCCCUAACCGAGCAUCCCGAAAGGGAAACCGGUUAAGAUUCCGGUACCACGAAGAUACGUGCGGCAACGCAGGUCCGCAGCCUGACGCUUCAGGAUAGGCUGAGUGGGGCCGUCGCCCCAUUUAACCUCUGAAACCCAGGGAGAACCGUAAUGGUGAGAACUGGGUGAAGGAGGGAAUAGCCGCCCGUUUAGGGUGGUUCAGUCGAUUCCUGGAGCCAAUGAAAAAGGUUGCGGAAAGGAUUCUUCGUGCUCGUACCCAGAACCGACACAGGUGCCCUAGGUGAGAAGCCUCAGACGUAUCGGGUCCAACUCAGGGCGAGGGAACUCGGCAAAUUAGCCCCGUAACUUAGGGAUAAGGGGUGCCUGAAACCUUGGCUUAAGCCGGGGUUUCAGGUCGCAGUGACAAGGGGGAUGCGACUGUUUAAUAAAAACAUAGGUGGCCGCAAGCCCGAAAGGGUGUGUACGGCCGUUGAGUCCUGGCCAGUGGUGGUACCUAAAACUCGGGUCCAACCGAGCUAAGGGCCACUAAACGCCGGGAGUAACUCUGACUCUCUUAAGGUAGCCAAAUGCCUUGUCGUGUAAGUUACGACGUGCAUGAAUGGACCAACGACAUCCCCACUGUCCCCGCCUGGGGCCCGGUGAACCCACAUAACUUGGACGAACAGUCCAGGAUCUCCCAGCGGGGCGAAAAGUCCCCGUGGAAUUUUACUGCAGCUUGCUGCUGGGAUGCGGCUGCGGGUACAGAGGGUAGGUGGGAGCCUACGAGCCAUCCCCUCCGGGGGAUGGGGAGGCGACGAUGUAACACCACCUAUCCGUGGCUGUAUCCCUUACCAGAGGAUACUCUGGAACAACGGCAGGUGGGCAGUUUGGCUGGGGCGGCACCCCCUUGAAAAGAUAUCGAGGGGGCCCAAAGCUCGACUCAUCCGGGACAGAACUCCGGAGUAGAGGGCAAGACCAAAAGUCGGGCUGACUGGAUCCUCCACAGCAAGGGAUCCAGAGGCGAAAGCCGGGUCUAGCGAUCAUUCAUGUCCCCAUUGUUGGGGGCUGGAUGUGACAGAAAAACUACCCCGGGAGUAAUUGGCUCGUCUCCUCCGAGAGUCCCCAUCGACGAGGAGGAUUGGUUCUCCGUCGUCGUCCCUUCCCAUCCUGGGUCCGCAGCAGGGCCCAAGGGCGCGGCUGUUCGCCGAUCAAAGGGGAAUGCGAGAUGGGUUUAGACCGUCGCGAGACAGGUCGGAUUCUACCUGCUGGGAGUGCUGGUCGCCUGAGGGGAAGGCGCCCCUAGUACGAGAGGAACGGGGUAUCGUAGCCUCUAGUUUACCGGUUGUCCGACAGGGCAGUGCCGGGCAGCCACGCUGCCGAGGAUAAGGGCUGAAAGCAUCUAAGCCCGAAACCUCUCCCGAAAAUAGGCGGCCAAUCCAAACCAUCUAGGUUCUGGCGACAGAGCCACAGGUUUGGACGAGAGCUCUCAAAGAAGAUGAGGUUGAUGGAGCAGGGGUGUAAGCGUCAAGGCUUCGGCCGAGACGUUCAGCCCGCUGCCCCCAAUCGCUCAAGGUGCCAAGCCU
This 2980-nucleotide ribosomal RNA is filed under the name Candidatus Bathyarchaeota archaeon. RNAcentral describes it as "partial 23S ribosomal RNA". It matches the Rfam family "Archaeal large subunit ribosomal RNA". The record is from RNAcentral. Lineage: Archaea; Thermoproteati; Candidatus Bathyarchaeota.